CCUUCACCGUGUUGUUAGCGCUGGUGAUAAUUUACUGGCUUCUAGUAAUGGUGGGCGCGAUGGACAUGGAUCUUUUCUCGGAUGCGCACGCCGAUGUGGGUGAUCUUCAUCAUGGCGAUGUCGGACAUCAUGUAGAAGGCGCACAUGACGCGCACCAUCACCAUGAAGGUGCAUUCACGAAAGUGCUGAAAUUUGCAGGCGUGGGUGAGAUUCCAGUCAUGUUUAUCCUGAGCGUGAUGAGCCUUUGCAUGUGGAUGUUUUCAAUGGCGGCACAUUAUUACGUCCAAAGCUCACUGAGCCCCGGGAUGCUGGCGUUUGCGCUUCUGGUUCCGAACUUCAUCGUGAGUCUCAUCGCCACCCGUUUUCUGGUGCUGCCGUUCCGUCCGAUGUUUCGCAUGCUGAUGAAAGACCGCGAUCCCGGCGAGGCGGUGCUCGGCAAUUUCUGCAAAAUCAUCUCCACGGAAGCGGAUAGCGAUUUUGGCCAGGCGGAAAUCACCACCAAGGGCUCGCCGGUGAUCAUCAACGUCCGCACGAUCAAUGACGCCGUCAUCCCCAAAGGUGUCAUCGCCACCGUCGUCCGCGAAGAUCGCGACAAAGGAAUUUUCUACAUCGCGGAAAUGCCGCCAGCUUCCAAUAACAACCCAACCAGCCAGACCUAAUCCAUGAUCACCAUUGCGUUUAUCGACAAACUAUUCGGCAUCGGCGGAGCGAUCUUUCUGCUCCUGCUCGCCGGAGUCAUCUUCAGCAUUCUCACCUGCUUCCGCAAGGUCGAGCAGGGACGCGCCAUCAUCCGCAACGGCCUCCGCGGCACGAAGGUUUCCUUCUCCGGCCUCACCGUGUUUCCGAUCAUUGAUAAGGCGGAAUACAUGGAUAUCUCCGUCAAGCGCGUGGAAAUCUACCGCCACGGACACAACGGCCUGAUCUGUAUGGAUAACAUGCGCGCCGACAUCAAAGUCGCAUUUUUCGUCCGCGUGAACCAGACCUCCGACGAUGUGCUCAAAGUCGCACAGUCCAUCGGUUGCGUCCGUGCUUCGAGCCUGGAGGCAAUUGUGGAUCUCUUUGACG
This 1065-nucleotide unclassified non-coding RNA is filed under the name uncultured fungus. RNAcentral describes it as "sequence contains 18S rRNA gene, ITS1, 5.8S rRNA gene, ITS2, 28S rRNA gene". Lineage: Eukaryota; Fungi. The record is from RNAcentral.